RNAcentral lists this ribosomal RNA (362 nucleotides) under uncultured Glomeromycotina. Its description in RNAcentral is "bacterial SSU rRNA". It matches the Rfam family "Eukaryotic small subunit ribosomal RNA", at positions 730 to 1092 of the family's 1831-position model. Lineage: Eukaryota; Fungi; Glomeromycota. The record is from RNAcentral.
GGCCUACCAUGGUGGUGACGGGUAACGGAGAAUUAGAGUGUUCAAAGCAGGCGUAACCUGGCCUUGAAUACUGUAGCAUGGGAUAAUAAAAGAAGACGAGAGUCUUAUUUUGUUGGUUUCUAGGGCUUUUGUAAUGAUUAAUAGGGAUAGUUGGGGUGGUUCAUACUCCGUCGCUAGAGGUGAAAUUCUUGGACCGACGGAAGAUGCACUAGUGCGAAAGCAUUCCACAAGGAUGUUUUCAUUAAUCAAGAACGAAAGUUAGGGGAUCGAAGACGAUCAGAUACCGUCGUAGUCUUAACCAUAAACUAUGCCGACUAGGGAUCGGAUGAUGUUAUUUUUAAUGACUCAUUCGGCGCCUUACG